This 252-nucleotide ribosomal RNA is filed under the name uncultured bacterium. RNAcentral's name for it is "partial 16S ribosomal RNA". It matches the Rfam family "Bacterial small subunit ribosomal RNA", at positions 524 to 776 of the family's 1533-position model. The record is from RNAcentral.
UACGAAGGGGGCUAGCGUUGUUCGGAAUUACUGGGCGUAAAGCGCACGUAGGCGGGUAUUUAAGUCAGGGGUGAAAUCCCAGAGCUCAACUCUGGAACUGCCUUUGAUACUGGGUACCUAGAGUAUGGAAGAGGUAAGUGGAAUUCCGAGUGUAGAGGUGAAAUUCGUAGAUAUUCGGAGGAACACCAGUGGCGAAGGCGGCUUACUGGUCCAUACUGACGCUGAGGUGCGAAAGCGUGGGGAGCAAACAGG